UACAGAGGGUGCGAGCGUUGUCCGGAAUCACUGGGCGUAAAGGGCGCGUAGGUGGCCUGAUAAGUCGGGGGUGAAACGCUGCGGCUCAACCGCAGCACUGCCUUCGAGACUGUCAGGCUUGAGCACGGUAGAGGCAGGUGGAAUUCCCGGUGUAGCGGUGGAAUGCGUAGAGAUCGGGAAGAACAUCGGUGGCGAAGGCGACCUGCUGGGCCGUUGCUGACACUGAGGCGCGACAGCGUGGGGAGCAAACAGG
Molecule: ribosomal RNA, 253 nt
Filed under: uncultured prokaryote
Description: partial 16S ribosomal RNA
Rfam family: Bacterial small subunit ribosomal RNA
Source: RNAcentral